RNAcentral lists this non-coding RNA (81 nucleotides) under Anabaena sp. 90. Its description in RNAcentral is "Photosynthesis regulatory RNA1". It matches the Rfam family "Photosynthesis regulatory RNA1". Rfam says of the family: Formerly known as Syr1 discovered in Synechocystis sp PCC 6803, is a regulatory factor controlling photosynthetic functions. PsrR1 interacts with the ribosome binding regions of several photosynthesis-related mRNAs. The record is from Rfam by way of RNAcentral. Lineage: Bacteria; Bacillati; Cyanobacteriota; Cyanophyceae; Nostocales; Nostocaceae.
GUUAAUUGCGCUGAGUAUUUGUAUCUAAUCGUCAUUCAAAUUUUCUCCUAAUUAACCCUGGUCAGUUUCGCCAGGGUUUUU